GGUAAUCAAAUUGGACCACAGCCCAGGGAAACUGUGAGGUCUUACUGAGCACUGCGUGCCAGUGGAAAGAAGCAUUUUGAAAGGUAAACUGGUGGGGGCGAUGGGGUUCAGAUAUUCUCUGAGACCGGGAACGUCACUGCUCUCCCCGGGAAGCUGCUUUAGGCACAGUGCUCCUGCCUGACUCGGGAAGACUGCUCUCCUGGCCUCCUGGAAGUCAUAUGGGAAACAGAUACCCAGUUUUUCAGCUCCAUUAACUGAAAGACUCUUUUCCUGAAUGUUGUCCUUGCAUCAUUGCACAAAAUCAGCUUACCAUAAAGGGUUGUAGGAUUUUUCUUCUCAGUCACUUUGCAAGCCAGGGACCCUCGAUCGAUGACGCCCCGCCCGGGCCUUGCUCUGCCACGCUGCAUGCCCCAGCUCGCCUGUGUGAUAGCUUGUACCCACGUUCAGUGGUUCCUGAGCUUUUGCACCCUGCCCAAGAAGAAUGAGGAUAUGCUGGACAUUGAAGGGGUGGCCUUGUUUGAUGUUGCUGUUUUAUGAAAUUACACUAUCCAUGUACAACAUAAGGAAAAUGUGACCCAGCUGAGAGCGCCAGGCCAGAUUCUGGCAACACCGAUGUCUGGAUGUCAGUGCCAAACCAGCUCCCUGAUUUCCAUCCAUUGAAGUCUGAGUUCCGUGAGAAACAGAAUCAGAACUCUUGCCAAUUGGACUGCAAGAUGUCUUCAUCUACGUAUGCUGUCAUAAAAAACACUAUGGACUAUGGGGCAAGAAAAAUGUAAUAUUUUUCUCUCACGGUUUUGGAGACUGGAAAGUUCAAGUGUCCAGCAGGGCUCAUUUUGUGUUGGGGGCUCUCUUUCUGGCAUGCAGAUGCUUCCUUCUCGCUGUGUCCUCGCAUGGUGGCAAGAGAGCAACCUCAGGUGUCUCUUUCUCUUUCAAAGGACACCAGUUCUCUCAGAUCAGGGCUUCACCGUUAUGAUCUCUCUUAAUCUUAAUCUGUCCUUCAAGGUCAUAUUUCCAACAUAGUCACACGGAGGCUUAGGGCUUUUAACAUACACGUAUGAAUUUUGGGGGACACCAUUCAGUCCAUAGCAAAAGGCCAGCUUCUGAUAUUCCCACAUCAGUCAGUGAUUGGAUAUAGACCAAUGGGAAUGUGUGAUAAUCCUUGGAUCAUCUGAGGCAAUCUCCAAAAAGGCUGAAAACCGAGGGCUGCCUACCGCUGGCACUCUGAGCAGCAUACACCACAUGCUCCAUCAGUGUUACUGCCCUCAGCUGGGGAGAACCCCCCUCACACAAGUUGUGAUACCUUCCUAGAGGCAGCCUGCAUUCAAUGACAGCUUGAGAGGGGCGUAAAGGGCCAGCCACUCUGACCUGAUUCAGGACAAUUCUGCAAGGCUCUCCAAGCUCCAGAAUUCCUAUACUGUUUCCUGAACCUUUGUUGUCACCGUUUCCCAAACUACUUUUCUUUUUGUCAAUCCUGACCCUUUCCCUCUCCUACUACAGAUGUUGGUCACUCGAAUACUCGCAGCACACUUCUAUGAAUGAAUCUUUGUCUCAGAGAUUGCUCCCCAAGGAACCCAGUCAGUGCCAUCGGAAAUCAAAACAUUUAUUUAUUUAUUUUAAAAAUAUGUAAAUAAAAUGAUUAUUUUCACCAUUUUAAUGUACAAGUUAGUGAUCAUUACACAUUUAAUACUUGCAUGAAAACAUCACAUUUACCGCAUAAAUAUGGACAACUAUUAUGCAUCUAUUAUAAUUAAAAAUAAAACAUUUAUAAAUGAGAACAUACUGGAAAUGUGUAGUCAUGAUGGUGGCACCAUCUUAUGUUUUUAAAUUAAGAAUUUUGGAGCAGGAAAUGUUUUCUGUCUGUACCUAGGUCUUUACAUAUCAGAAAAUUUCAUAAAAGACCAGAAUAAAAGUAGCCAUACAAAAUACAACCACAAAAUAUGUAUUAAAUAGCCUACCAAAAUGCCACAAUGUAUCAUUAUAAUCACUAUUAAAUAUUUAUUAUGCAACAGUAUCAUUUAUGCAAUAGGAUUUUUUAUAAACCAGCAAUUUGCACUUUGAAAUUCAAUUUCAGUGAAUCACAAGCUUAAAAAUUGAAAUUCAAAUUAAGCAUUUCCUUUAUUCAAAGUCAUAUAUCAUAUUGAAAAUAAUCUGUAUUUUUAUUGCAAAAGAACACUUUAAGAAAACCCUAGAGAAUUGUUUGACCUAAUAAUUGUAAUUGUGCAUGUAUUUCUUAAUAUUAUUGAUUAAAUUUAUAUUUAGCCAUUUCUCUCAGCUAUAUAUAGUUACAGCAAAGCUAUUUUGCAUCAACAUAUAUGUCUCCCUAACUAUGAUAAAGAAUAUGGUAAUGAUGUUGUAAAUUGAUUGGAAAAGAUGAUCUAUCAAUUCUUUUGCAGCUUCCGAAUUCCAAAAGGUCAUUGCAUGCUAUGUGUAUAUUUUUAUUCUUUCAAAUCCUUCCGAUUACACAGAAAUAAUAAAAUAUUACCCACAGCAACCAAA
Homo sapiens (human) is the source of this 2496-nucleotide long non-coding RNA. RefSeq lists it as uncharacterized. The transcript is spliced from 5 exons. The record is from RefSeq and is a predicted model, not a curated record. NCBI's taxonomy places the organism in Eukaryota, Metazoa, Chordata, Mammalia, Primates, Hominidae.